GACGAACGCUGGCGGCGUGCCUAAUACAUGCAAGUAGAACGCACAGUUUAUACCGUAGCUUGCUACACCAUAAACUGUGAGUUGCGAACGGGUGAGUAACGCGUAGGUAACCUGCCUGGUAGCGGGGGAUAACUAUUGGAAACGAUAGCUAAUACCGCAUAAUAUUGAUUAUUGCAUGAUAAUUGAUUGAAAGAUGCUAUUGCAUCACUACCAGAUGGACCUGCGUUGUAUUAGCUAGUAGGUGAGGUAACGGCUCACCUAGGCGACGAUACAUAGCCGACCUGAGAGGGUGAUCGGCCACACUGGGACUGAGACACGGCCCAGACUCCUACGGGAGGCAGCAGUAGGGAAUCUUCGGCAAUGGACGAAAGUCUGACCGAGCAACGCCGCGUGAGUGAAGAAGGGUUUCGGACCGUAAAGCUCUGUUGUAAGAGAAGAACGGGUGUGAGAGUGGAAAGUUCACACUGUGACGGUAUCUUACCAGAAAGGGACGGCUAACUACGUG
RNAcentral lists this ribosomal RNA (505 nucleotides) under uncultured bacterium. RNAcentral's name for it is "partial 16S ribosomal RNA". It matches the Rfam family "Bacterial small subunit ribosomal RNA", at positions 28 to 507 of the family's 1533-position model. The record is from RNAcentral.